UACGGGGGGGGCAAGCGUUGUUCGGAAUUACUGGGCGUAAAGGGUGCGUAGGCGGUGCUCUAAGUCGGAUGUGAAAACUCUGGGCUCAACCCAGAGCCUGCAUCCGAAACUGGAGUGCUAGAGUUCUGGAGGGGGUAGCGGAAUUCCUGGUGUAGCGGUGAAAUGCGUAGAUAUCAGGAGGAACACCGGUGGCGAAGGCGGCUACCUGGACAGAAACUGACGCUGAGGCACGAAAGCGUGGGGAGCGAACAGG
RNAcentral lists this ribosomal RNA (253 nucleotides) under uncultured bacterium. Its description in RNAcentral is "partial 16S ribosomal RNA". It matches the Rfam family "Bacterial small subunit ribosomal RNA", at positions 524 to 776 of the family's 1533-position model. The record is from RNAcentral.